Molecule: long non-coding RNA, 220 nt
Filed under: Mytilus galloprovincialis (Mediterranean mussel)
Lineage: Eukaryota; Metazoa; Mollusca; Bivalvia; Mytilida; Mytilidae
Source: RNAcentral
AAACUUACCAAAGUCGUAUUUCCACAUUUCUUUACCCUACAAGAAACUUUCCUAGGAUCCGUGUAUUGCGGAAUGGCGUCAAUAUUUCUAAAACGUUCACGUAAAUUGAUUGCGUCAUGUGUUAAAACAGUUAUUGGCCAAUCAAAUCGGUAUAUGUAAUUUAAUCUGCACAGCACGAGAUGACCCAAUAACCCGAACUCCUACGUCGUUCGGGUUAUUG